RNAcentral lists this ribosomal RNA (897 nucleotides) under Bacillus subtilis. RNAcentral describes it as "bacterial SSU rRNA". It matches the Rfam family "Bacterial small subunit ribosomal RNA", at positions 53 to 932 of the family's 1533-position model. The record is from RNAcentral. Lineage: Bacteria; Bacillati; Bacillota; Bacilli; Caryophanales; Bacillaceae.
ACAAGCAGUCGAGCGGACAGAUGGGAGCUUGCUCCCUGAUGUUAGCGGCGGACGGGUGAGUAACACGUGGGUAACCUGCCUGUAAGACUGGGAUAACUCCGGGAAACCGGGGCUAAUACCGGAUGCUUGUUUGAACCGCAUGGUUCAAACAUAAAAGGUGGCUUCGGCUACCACUUACAGAUGGACCCGCGGCGCAUUAGCUAGUUGGUGAGGUAAUGGCUCACCAAGGCAACGAUGCGUAGCCGACCUGAGAGGGUGAUCGGCCACACUGGGACUGAGACACGGCCCAGACUCCUACGGGAGGCAGCAGUAGGGAAUCUUCCGCAAUGGACGAAAGUCUGACGGAGCAACGCCGCGUGAGUGAUGAAGGUUUUCGGAUCGUAAAGCUCUGUUGUUAGGGAAGAACAAGUACCGUUCGAAUAGGGCGGUACCUUGACGGUACCUAACCAGAAAGCCACGGCUAACUACGUGCCAGCAGCCGCGGUAAUACGUAGGUGGCAAGCGUUGUCCGGAAUUAUUGGGCGUAAAGGGCUCGCAGGCGGUUUCUUAAGUCUGAUGUGAAAGCCCCCGGCUCAACCGGGGAGGGUCAUUGGAAACUGGGGAACUUGAGUGCAGAAGAGGAGAGUGGAAUUCCACGUGUAGCGGUGAAAUGCGUAGAGAUGUGGAGGAACACCAGUGGCGAAGGCGACUCUCUGGUCUGUAACUGACGCUGAGGAGCGAAAGCGUGGGGAGCGAACAGGAUUAGAUACCCUGGUAGUCCACGCCGUAAACGAUGAGUGCUAAGUGUUAGGGGGUUUCCGCCCCUUAGUGCUGCAGCUAACGCAUUAAGCACUCCGCCUGGGGAGUACGGUCGCAAGACUGAAACUCAAAGGAAUUGACGGGGGCCCGCACAAGCGG